AGGAAGAAGAUAAAUAGGAAAUAUUAUUUAGGAGGAAGUGGUGGGGAUUAUAAAGUGAUCAGGAGUCAAGAAGGAAGGGUCUUGGCAAUGCAGGGGACAUGGAGCCGAGUGAGAAGAGAAAGAACUGGCAGGAAAAAGAGGAGA
Ceratotherium simum simum (southern white rhinoceros) is the source of this 144-nucleotide non-coding RNA. The record is from RefSeq and is a predicted model, not a curated record. Lineage: Eukaryota; Metazoa; Chordata; Mammalia; Perissodactyla; Rhinocerotidae.